This 485-nucleotide ribosomal RNA is filed under the name uncultured bacterium. Its description in RNAcentral is "bacterial SSU rRNA". It matches the Rfam family "Bacterial small subunit ribosomal RNA", at positions 29 to 534 of the family's 1533-position model. The record is from RNAcentral.
AACGAACGCUGGCGGCAUGCCUAACACAUGCAAGUCGAACGAGACCUUCGGGUCUAGUGGCGCACGGGUGCGUAACGCGUGGGAAUCUGCCCUUAGGUUCGGAAUAACUUCGGGAAACUGAAGCUAAUACCGGAUGAUGACGUAAGUCCAAAGAUUUAUCGCCUAAGGAUGAGCCCGCGUUGGAUUAGCUAGUUGGUGAGGUAAAGGCUCACCAAGGCGACGAUCCAUAGCUGGUCUGAGAGGACGACCAGCCACACUGGAACUGAGACACGGUCCAGACUCCUACGGGAGGCAGCAGUGGGGAAUUUUGGACAAUGGACGCAAGUCUGAUCCAGCCAUUCCGCGUGCAGGAUGAAGGCCCUCGGGUUGUAAACUGCUUUUGUACGGAACGAAACGGUGAGCUCUAAUACAGUUUGCUAAUGACGGUACCGUAAGAAUAAGCACCGGCUAACUACGUGCCAGCAGCCGCGGUAAAGUGACUACUG